GCAAAGCUUCGGGUUUGAAGCCAGAGGAACUUUAGUCUCCAUGAAAGAGCAAGCGCAGAACGUGCUAGUAAGAGUCUGAGAUUUCUGGCUUCUCCGGGAAUUUACAUCUUGGACCUCCAUGGGGCAUCAAUCUGCUGGAGCUGAGUGGCCAUUUUCCCCUUCCGUUUCCCCAGUCUCCAUGGCUCCUUAUUGUCUAACACCUACUUUACUCACUUAGAUGACCUGCCUAACCCAGGUCUAUAUAAUGAACUCUUUGUCCUCGGGGAAGGAGCCAAGGAGUGGAAGACGACAAUGAGCAGCACCCAACAGGAGAUGACCGUGAUGGUGGACUCGACGGACAAGAGCUAUGUUGAGCAAGGUGCAGACUGCGGCUAGACGUUCUCGUUCAUGGACACGCACAAUCUGAACGGGAGAGACCCAUUUGUGCCAACUGCAGUUUUAGUACUGUUGCUCCUGCCCUGUUGGCUUUUUCAUCUCCUUUUUUCUCCUGAUAUGUGUCUUCUUAAAAGUGCCAUUAAAUGGUAAGUUCCCCCAUUUGCCCCAUGGAAAAGGUGUGGAGGGAAUGGGGGCAUGUGUCUUAUCUGUAGCUUCUGACAAAACCAGCUGGUUCUGCUCUGUGUUGGCCUGCAUGUUAGCUCUUGUAGAACAUUCCAUGCAUGAAGUGUGGGUCUGCUCUGCAAUAUUUUGUCAAGCUUUCUGAUCCUGGAGUGUGCACAGUGACUCAUCAGUCUAAAGUUCUGUUUUCUUUUUCCGCUUUGCUUCCAUUUCAUGUAUCAAGUCCACAUUUUCAUUGCUAGCUUUAUAAGCCAAGCCAUUUUGACCAUUUUACUUUUGCUCACAGAACAUUUGUACAGAGUUCAUUUACUUCAUCAUGCAAACUAGUUAGCUUAUCUUUGGAAGAAUACGUGACUGGUUUUAUCAGGUCUUGAUGAAGUUUCAGAUUGAAACUUCUAUAAACGUUAGCACCCAAAAGCUAGAGGGUUCUUACCGCAUAGUUUUGUGAAAGCAAUAUAUCAUUUAGACUGCUUUGUAAAAACAAAACUUUUUGCCUCAUUCCUAUCAGUAUUGCCAGUUUCAUUUAGAUUUGUAAACAUUGAACUUUUCCUCUUUGCUGAGCCAUCGUAAGGAUUAGUGCAGCCAUAGGUUGAGGGGAUGUCAGCAGCAGCUUCUUAGCGUUCUCAGUGACCCUGAUGUAUCCCGUUAGUUCUCCCUCACUUUCUCUCUACCUUCUUUUCCUAAAUGACCACACGAUGGCCACUGAGAUGAGCACUUUGGUGCAUUCCCACACUUAGAAGAAUCACGAGCCGGCUGACGUGCGCUGACAGACUGGGAAGCUUCACCCCGCUAUCCAGGUGGCAGACCGGCGUCAACAUCACACAGAUGAAGUGUUUAGAGGGCUGCGGCUUAAAGGAGGGAUAUGAAGUGACCAUGAGCUUCGGGCCAGGGCUCCUUCUCAGCCCUCCGGGGCCUGAUGCCAGGGACUGUGCUCCCAGCUUAUUCAGCCAGCAGUGGGACCGCAUGAAGGCUGGCAGGAAAGGACCAGACAUUUCAUCCAUGGAUCCAUUUCCUUCCGGCUGUAAGACUUAUUACCUGGAAGCUAAAUCAGCCCUGAGCAAACGUCUGCUGCCAAUCCUCCUCUUUUUACUGAGGAAGAGUGGCCCUGAGCUAACAUCCGUGCCCAUCUUCCUCUACUUUAUAUGUGGGACACCUACCACAGCAUGGCUUGACAAGCGGUGCCAUGUCCGCACCUGGGAUCUGAACCAGCAAACCCCAGGCCGCCAGAGGGGAACGUGUGCACUUAACCACUGCAUCACCAAGCCAGCCCCAUAUAAUUGUGAUUUUAAUCCUAAUAAUUUUGUGGUAAUUACCUCAGAAAGAAACUGUCCACUUAAAACAAUUUUAGACCAACCAUGAUGUCAUGUGGUGGAGAUAAGACAGCAGUAAAGGGACUGGCUAGUGUCAUGGCUAUGGCAGUUGUUAUUGUCCUGCCAGCCCAGAGAGCGUGUUGCUGUGCUGGGAUCUAGCACGGACAGCUUUCGGGGGCAUUUCCAGGAGCAGUGAUGUUCUCUCACCAUAUUUAAAAUGGAGGGCCCACCCCUUUCACAGCCUCUGUCAUUAGCUAAUGCUGUUGGAAAGUCAUUCAAGAAAUGAAGAGAAUUAAUUGAUUUAAAGAAGUCUGAUUCAAAGAAGCACACCAGUACCUGAGUGUGUGUGUCUG
Molecule: long non-coding RNA, 2218 nt
Organism: Equus asinus (donkey)
Lineage: Eukaryota; Metazoa; Chordata; Mammalia; Perissodactyla; Equidae
Source: Ensembl